RNAcentral lists this ribosomal RNA (719 nucleotides) under Photobacterium leiognathi. RNAcentral describes it as "bacterial LSU rRNA". It matches the Rfam family "Bacterial large subunit ribosomal RNA", at positions 2230 to 2925 of the family's 2925-position model. Lineage: Bacteria; Pseudomonadati; Pseudomonadota; Gammaproteobacteria; Vibrionales; Vibrionaceae. The record is from RNAcentral.
GGCCCCUUAUCGGGGUUACGGACAGUGCCUGGUGGGUAGUUUGACUGGGGCGGUCUCCUCCCAAAGAGUAACGGAGGAGCACGAAGGUGGGCUAAUCACGGUCGGACAUCGUGAGGUUAGUGCAAUGGCAUAAGCCCGCUUGACUGCGAGAAUGACAAUUCGAGCAGGUGCGAAAGCAGGUCAUAGUGAUCCGGUGGUUCUGAAUGGAAGGGCCAUCGCUCAACGGAUAAAAGGUACUCCGGGGAUAACAGGCUGAUACCGCCCAAGAGUUCAUAUCGACGGCGGUGUUUGGCACCUCGAUGUCGGCUCAUCACAUCCUGGGGCUGAAGUCGGUCCCAAGGGUAUGGCUGUUCGCCAUUUAAAGUGGUACGCGAGCUGGGUUUAGAACGUCGUGAGACAGUUCGGUCCCUAUCUGCCGUGGGCGUUGGAUGAUUGAGAGGGGCUGCUCCUAGUACGAGAGGACCGGAGUGGACGAACCGCUGGUGUUCGGGUUGUGUCGCCAGACGCAUUGCCCGGUAGCUAAGUUCGGAAUCGAUAACCGCUGAAAGCAUCUAAGCGGGAAGCGAGCCUCAAGAUGAGUCAUCCCUAGACCUUUAAGGUCUCUAAAGGGUUGUUGAAGACUACAACGUUGAUAGGUCGGGUGUGUAAGUGCUGUGAGGCAUUGAGCUAACCGAUACUAAUUGCCCGUGAGGCUUAACCAUACAACACCCAAGGGGUUU